AAAUUGAAGAGUUUGAUCAUGGCUCAGAUUGAACGCUGGCGGCAGGCCUAACACAUGCAAGUCGAACGGUAACAGGAAGCAGCUUGCUGCUUYGCUGACGAGUGGCGGACGGGUGAGUAAUGUCUGGGAAACUGCCUGAUGGAGGGGGAUAACUACUGGAAACGGUGGCUAAUACCGCAUAACGUCGCAAGACCAAAGAGGGGGACCUUCGGGCCUCUUGCCAUCAGAUGUGCCCAGAUGGGAUUAGCUUGUUGGUGAGGUAACGGCUCACCAAGGCGACGAUCCCUAGCUGGUCUGAGAGGAUGACCAGCCACACUGGAACUGAGACACGGUCCAGACUCCAGACUCC
Molecule: ribosomal RNA, 349 nt
Filed under: Salmonella enterica
Lineage: Bacteria; Pseudomonadati; Pseudomonadota; Gammaproteobacteria; Enterobacterales; Enterobacteriaceae
Description: bacterial SSU rRNA
Source: RNAcentral